Molecule: ribosomal RNA, 460 nt
Filed under: uncultured bacterium
Lineage: Bacteria
Description: partial 16S ribosomal RNA
Rfam family: Bacterial small subunit ribosomal RNA
Source: RNAcentral
CCUACGGGUGGCAGCAGUGAGGAAUAUUGGUCAAUGGGCGCGAGCCUGAACCAGCCAAGUAGCGUGAAGGAUGACUGCCCUACGGGUUGUAAACUUCUUUUAUAAAGGAAUAAAGUGUGGCACGUGUGCCUUUUUGUAUGUACUUUAUGAAUAAGCAUCGGCUAACUCCGUGCCAGCAGCCGCGGUAAUACGGAGGAUCCGCGCGUUAUCCGGAUUUAUUGGGUUUAAAGGGAGCGUAGAUGGGUUGUUAAGUCAGUUGUGAAAGUUCGGGGCUCAACCGUAAAAUUGCAGUUGAUACUGGCAGUCUUGAGUACAGUAGAGGUAGGCGGAAUUCGUGGUGUAGCGGUGAAAUGCGGAGAUAUCACGAAGAACUCCGAUUGCGAAGGCAGCUUACUAAACUGCAACUGACAUUGAGGCUCGAAAGUGUGGGUAUCAAACAGGAUUAGAUACCCGUGUAGUC